CCCUUUGUGGUGUAGUUGGUAUCACACCCGGCUGUAAUAGUUUGCUUACCGGUUGGUCACCAGUUCGACUCUGGUCGAAGGGA
Morchella snyderi is the source of this 83-nucleotide non-coding RNA. The record is from the annotation of a GenBank genome assembly. Lineage: Eukaryota; Fungi; Ascomycota; Pezizomycetes; Pezizales; Morchellaceae.